Molecule: ribosomal RNA, 164 nt
Filed under: Diabelia serrata
Lineage: Eukaryota; Viridiplantae; Streptophyta; Magnoliopsida; Dipsacales; Caprifoliaceae
Description: 5.8S ribosomal RNA
Rfam family: 5.8S ribosomal RNA
About the family: 5.8S ribosomal RNA (5.8S rRNA) is a component of the large subunit of the eukaryotic ribosome. It is transcribed by RNA polymerase I as part of the 45S precursor that also contains 18S and 28S rRNA.
Source: RNAcentral
CAAACGACUCUCGGCAACGGAUAUCCCGGCCCUCGCAUCGAUGAAGAACGUAGCGAAAUGCGAUACUUGGUGUGAAUUGCAGAAUCCCGUGAACCAUCGAGUCUUUGAACGCAAGUUGCGCCCGAAGCCAUUAGGCCGAGGGCACGUCUGCCUGGGCGUCACGC